This is a long non-coding RNA of Pipra filicauda (Wire-tailed manakin), 1690 nucleotides long. RefSeq lists it as uncharacterized. NCBI's taxonomy places the organism in Eukaryota, Metazoa, Chordata, Aves, Passeriformes, Pipridae. The transcript is spliced from 3 exons. The record is from RefSeq and is a predicted model, not a curated record.
GCUCUGGUUUGGAGCAGCUCUUAGAGACGGAGAGAGGUUCCCAGGGGAGAACGGAGCGGGACGCACCGUUUGUGGAAGGAAACAGUGCCGUAGGGAGGAACAAGACUAGAGAAACUGAAGAAGGGGAUUUUGCCUGGCUUGGAAUUGUUGGACUUUCGAGAGGUGGCUUUUUUGCCUGGAAAUGUCAAUGGCAAGAUGCCUCUACUGAGAGAAGCUCUAGAGAUCAGCUCUGUGCUGGCUGGUGCAGAGUUUAGUUCUGGUUUACAUCGGGUUGUGCUUUGAGAAGAUGUUCAUGUGAGAUAACACUGUAUCUUUCCUCCCUUUACUUCAUGUUCUGUUUCUCUUAAAUAUUUUCCUUGGAGUGAAAUGAUAAAUAUUUAAGAAAUCAGUUGCACUUGGAGACUUCUGAGCUUUCUCUGUUCUGAGAAGAUGCUGAUGCCAAGCAGUACUAGGCUCUGUUUACAAAACAAACCACGACCACAACAAAGACUCUGAAAGAAAAAAAGGUGAGGAAAGGAAGAGUGAGAGACAAUGUAUUUCUGUUCCUGAAAGCUGCUUUGCAUUUCCCUAGCACCUUUCCUCCCAGUGUUUCAGGGCACAUCACAAGCAUUCGUCAUGGCUCAGGCUGGAUUUGGAAGAGGAGUGAGGCAAUUCCUGUCACCCUUUGGAGAAUGAGUCUCCGGGAUAUCUAUAACCCGGGAGAAAGGCAAGUCCUUCCUGCACUGGGGUUGCUGGUCACUGCUGUAUGUUCAAAGAGCCUGUUUUAUGGGGUGCUGAACUGGGGCUCCUGGAUAAAUCCUGCAGAGAAUCUUUACGAAGCUAAACCAGGAAGGGUUUUGCCAUCAAGAAAAGAGCAUCAGUACAACUAGUACUGAUUUCAUUAACUUCAGUUUUCAAGUAAUCUUCAUUUCAGCUGGAAAAGCAAGGAAUUCAGUUAGGGCUGGGAUAUCAAGUGUGAAAUCUUGCCUCUGUUGAAGGCAGUAGGAGCAUUGCUAUUGACAGUUGGAGCCAGGCUCUUUCCCAGAAGUAGAUAUUAAUGAUAAGAGCAAGAGAUUUCAUCCAAGUCACUUCAGUAGCAAAUCUGGCAUGUUUGAGAGGACUCUGCAGGAGGGGAGACAAAGGCUCUGUCAUUACCAAUAUCCCUACUCAUGUUUUCAGAGAAUAAAUAUAUCUUUUCCUGGCAAUGAGUGUAUUGACUCUGUCUGGCUCAUUGCUCAACUGGUCACUCUGUGACAGGCUGUGCUCCCUUCUCCAGUGUUUUGUAUUCAGACAUCUCAGCUCAUAUUCAUCGGCUAUAGGAGAGGGAUUACUUCCUGCAGUAUUUUAUGGCUAGAAUAUUUUGUAUUUUGAAGUAUGAGUAUCUCUCUGACUCAUGUAGGACAAACCCACCAUAUCUCUGUUAUUAAAGCUGCUCCUCCUUGGGAAAGGAAAGGGCGUGGUGUGUACAACAUGAGAGAUAUCACUGUGUGACUACCUGGCUCCUUUCUGUACCUUCUACGGGGACAAGGCAUGAGCAUUUGUCACUGAUGAUGCUGCAGCUUGUUGCUGUUGGGUGAUGUUUUCCAGAAGGAGUGAUAAACAGGAAGAUCUCUGAAUGAUGUGGUCAUACCAGGUGUGAGAUGGAUAUGCAUUCUGUGUGGUCAGCAGCAGAGAAUCAAAGAAUAUCCUGAGCUGGGAAGGACCCACGAGG